AUUGAACGCUGGCGGCAUGCCUUACACAUGCAAGUCGAACGGUAACAGGUCUUCGGAUGCUGACGAGUGGCGAACGGGUGAGUAAUACAUCGGAACGUGCCCGAUCGUGGGGAUAACGAGGCGAAAGCUUUGCUAAUACCGCAUACGAUCUACGGAUGAAAGCGGGGGAUCUUCGGACCUCGCGCGGACGGAGCGGCCGAUGGCAGAUUAGGUAGUUGGUGGGAUAAAAGCUUACCAAGCCGACGAUCUGUAGCUGGUCUGAGAGGAUGAUCAGCCACACUGGGACUGAGACACGGCCCAGACUCCUACGGGAGGCAGCAGUGGGGAAUUUUGGACAAUGGGCGAAAGCCUGAUCCAGCCAUGCCGCGUGCAGGAUGAAGACCUUUGGGUUGUAAACUGCUUUUGUACGGAACGAAAAGCCUCUUUCUAAUAAAGAGGGGUCAUGACGGUACCGUAAGAAUAAGCACCGGCUAACUACGUG
RNAcentral lists this ribosomal RNA (481 nucleotides) under uncultured bacterium. Its description in RNAcentral is "partial 16S ribosomal RNA". It matches the Rfam family "Bacterial small subunit ribosomal RNA", at positions 30 to 507 of the family's 1533-position model. The record is from RNAcentral.